CCUACGGGAGGCAGCAGUGGGGAAUAUUGGGCAAUGGGCGCAAGCCUGACCCAGCAACGCCGCGUGAAGGAAGAAGGCCUUCGGGUUGUAAACUUCUUUUGUCAGGGACGAAGAAAGUGACGGUACCUGACGAAUAAGCCACGGCUAACUACGUGCCAGCAGCCGCGGUAAUACGUAGGUGGCAAGCGUUAUCCGGAUUUACUGGGUGUAAAGGGCGUGUAGGCGGGAGAGCAAGUCAGACGUGAAAUUCCAGGGCUCAACCCUGGAACUGCGUUUGAAACUGUUCUUCUUGAGUGAUGGAGAGGCAGGCGGAAUUCCGUGUGUAGCGGUGAAAUGCAUAGAUAUCACGCAGAACCCCGAUUGCGAAGGCAGCAUGCCGGCUUCCUACUGACGCUGAAGCACGAAAGCGUGGGGAUCGAACAGGAUUAGAUACCCUUGUAGUC
Molecule: ribosomal RNA, 443 nt
Filed under: uncultured bacterium
Lineage: Bacteria
Description: partial 16S ribosomal RNA
Rfam family: Bacterial small subunit ribosomal RNA
Source: RNAcentral